GUUUAGUCCUGAUAGAGGCAUUUGUUGGAGCUCCUCUCACGAUAGUUAUUGGGAGAGAGCGACUGCCGAAAGCAGGAAAUAGC
This 83-nucleotide small RNA is filed under the name Ichthyenterobacterium magnum. RNAcentral's name for it is "Flavo-1 RNA". The record is from RNAcentral. Lineage: Bacteria; Pseudomonadati; Bacteroidota; Flavobacteriia; Flavobacteriales; Flavobacteriaceae.